RNAcentral lists this ribosomal RNA (497 nucleotides) under uncultured bacterium. Its description in RNAcentral is "partial 16S ribosomal RNA". It matches the Rfam family "Bacterial small subunit ribosomal RNA", at positions 28 to 507 of the family's 1533-position model. The record is from RNAcentral.
GAUGAACGCUGGCGGCGUGCCUAAUACAUGCAAGUCGAGCGAACAGACGAGGAGCUUGCUCCUCUGACGUUAGCGGCGGACGGGUGAGUAACACGUGGAUAACCUACCUAUAAGACUGGGAUAACUUCGGGAAACCGGAGCUAAUACCGGAUAAUAUAUUGAACCGCAUGGUUCAAUAGUGAAAGACGGUUUUGCUGCCACUUAUAGAUGGAUCCGCGCCGCAUUAGCUAGUUGGUAAGGUAACGGCUUACCAAGGCAACGAUGCGUAGCCGACCUGAGAGGGUGAUCGGCCACACUGGAACUGAGACACGGUCCAGACUCCUACGGGAGGCAGCAGUAGGGAAUCUUCCGCAAUGGGCGAAAGCCUGACGGAGCAACGCCGCGUGAGUGAUGAAGGUCUUCGGAUCGUAAAACUCUGUUAUUAGGGAAGAACAAAUGUGUAAGUAACUAUGCACGUCUUGACGGUACCUAAUCUGAAAGCCACGGCUAACUACGUG